CGUUCAACCUCACCCUUCCUUGUUUAUCCCGCCUAUAUACCGCCGUCGUCAGCCCACCCUGUGAAGGUCCAAUAGUGAGCAGGAUCGGUAGAACCCAAAACGCCAGGUCGAGGUGUAGCGUAUGAGAGGGGAAGAAAUGGGCUACAUUUCCUAACACAGGAAAUACGAAUAAUGCACUGAAAUAAGCAUAUUGAAGGAGGAUUUAGCAGUAAAUGAAAAGCAGAGCGUUUCAUUGAAGUCGGCUCUAAAGCGCGCACACACCGCCCGUCACUCUCCCCAAAACAUAAUCUUUUUAUCUAUAAUCCCCUUAAAUCAAAUUCGGGGAGAAAAGUCGUAACAUGGUAAGUGUACCGGAAGGUGCACUUGGAAAAAC
RNAcentral lists this ribosomal RNA (373 nucleotides) under Mugil cephalus (flathead mullet). RNAcentral describes it as "partial 12S ribosomal RNA". It matches the Rfam family "Bacterial small subunit ribosomal RNA", at positions 962 to 1527 of the family's 1533-position model. The record is from RNAcentral. Lineage: Eukaryota; Metazoa; Chordata; Actinopteri; Mugiliformes; Mugilidae.